AAAUUAGUCACCAUGGCCUGGUGGUAAAUUGCAUUGAUUGCAGUUCCAAGGUCAUGGGUUCAAGUCUCAUCUCAACCAUAAGUUUUCAAUUAAUUCAUAUUUUUCAUCAUUUAAUUAAAAAACGCUAAAUUCAUUGAGAUGGCAUUCAAGGACGUCGCAAACUAUUUGGGGAAUCUGCGACGGAAUAUGUAACGGAAUAGUUAUAGAUGGAAUAAAACCCUCGCUAAAUCCCUCACAAAACUACGUAAUGU
Molecule: long non-coding RNA, 251 nt
Filed under: Medicago truncatula (barrel medic)
Lineage: Eukaryota; Viridiplantae; Streptophyta; Magnoliopsida; Fabales; Fabaceae
Description: lncRNA gene11816
Source: RNAcentral